AUUCCUUUGUGGUAAUUUUUUUUUUUUGUUGCACAGCUUUAAAAAGUUGAAGUCUAUUGGAAACCUUCUUAUAAGAAACCUUCCUAGUCAGAUAAUUCAACUUUCUUCUUUUCUUCAUUCAUGAAAAUGCAGAUCCACUGAGAAAGGGAAUAAGGAGCUGUUGGCGUCUCCACCAGGCAGAUGUGGUAACAUACGAAACCUGGUCUCCCUCCAUCUCUGUGAACGAAGCGCUUUGCAAAAAACCCAACUAACCAACCAAACACACAGUGCCAAAAGGAAAGCCAUAUCCAAGCAGUAACUAAAGUAAGAUUAUGAAAUUCCAAAGGAAGAAUGAAACCCAGCAUCUCCACACCAUUGCAAUACCAGUCUCCAAAGAAAC
Molecule: long non-coding RNA, 379 nt
Filed under: Pongo abelii (Sumatran orangutan)
Lineage: Eukaryota; Metazoa; Chordata; Mammalia; Primates; Hominidae
Description: lncRNA (ENSPPYG00000031780.1)
Source: RNAcentral